Molecule: ribosomal RNA, 639 nt
Filed under: Agrobacterium sp. SL002J
Lineage: Bacteria; Pseudomonadati; Pseudomonadota; Alphaproteobacteria; Hyphomicrobiales; Rhizobiaceae
Description: bacterial SSU rRNA
Rfam family: Bacterial small subunit ribosomal RNA
Source: RNAcentral
UAACGCGUGGGAAUCUACCCAUCUCUGCGGAAUAGCUCUGGGAAACUGGAAUUAAUACCGCAUACGCCCUACGGGGGAAAGAUUUAUCGGGGAUGGAUGAGCCCGCGUUGGAUUAGCUAGUUGGUGGGGUAAAGGCCUACCAAGGCGACGAUCCAUAGCUGGUCUGAGAGGAUGAUCAGCCACAUUGGGACUGAGACACGGCCCAAACUCCUACGGGAGGCAGCAGUGGGGAAUAUUGGACAAUGGGCGCAAGCCUGAUCCAGCCAUGCCGCGUGAGUGAUGAAGGCCUUAGGGUUGUAAAGCUCUUUCACCGAUGAAGAUAAUGACGGUAGUCGGAGAAGAAGCCCCGGCUAACUUCGUGCCAGCAGCCGCGGUAAUACGAAGGGGGCUAGCGUUGUUCGGAAUUACUGGGCGUAAAGCGCACGUAGGCGGAUAUUUAAGUCAGGGGUGAAAUCCCAGAGCUCAACUCUGGAACUGCCUUUGAUACUGGGUAUCUUGAGUAUGGAAGAGGUAAGUGGAAUUGCGAGUGUAGAGGUGAAAUUCGUAGAUAUUCGCAGGAACACCAGUGGCGAAGGCGGCUUACUGGUCCAUUACUGACGCUGAGGUGCGAAAGCGUGGGGGAGCAAACAGGAUUAGAUA